ACCCUCGUGGCGCAGCGGUACCGCUUCUGAUUGUAAAAUCGACGAUUGUGGAUUCGAUUUCCAAUCGGAGGUG
This 73-nucleotide transfer RNA is filed under the name Heliconius melpomene (postman butterfly). Its description in RNAcentral is "tRNA HMEL016347". It matches the Rfam family "tRNA". Rfam says of the family: Transfer RNA (tRNA) molecules are approximately 80 nucleotides in length. The record is from RNAcentral. Lineage: Eukaryota; Metazoa; Arthropoda; Insecta; Lepidoptera; Nymphalidae.